CAUUUAUAGACUCUCAUCACAAAUUGCGUUUAAGCUAAACCCUAAGCUAAUUAUAUGUCAGUAUUUGUACAUGAUAAGACUUAAAACUCAUAAAAAUUCCCCCGUAACGUCGUUUCACGCGCCUUUUCACGAUGUCACCCUUACCGGCGAUCUCACGUUACGUCAUCCCUAACCCUUCAAUUCUCUCUCUUCUCAAUACCCUUUUACCCUCUUUUAUCAUGCGUUUUUCGACGGCCGGCGCUUUUUUCUUAUCGUCUUAUUUUCUCUCUCCUCUUUUUUUCUCUCUUCAUUUUCCUCAUCUUUGAAGCUCUCAACAAUGGCGGAAGGUCCAGAUUCAUCAACACCUCCAUCAUUAGCGAUGAUUUCAUCAUCAUCUCGUCCUGUUCCGGCGAGAGAAGAUUGUUGGAGCGAAGACGCAACUUUUACGUUGAUCGAAGCUUGGGGACAGAGGUACAUCGAGCUAAAUCGAGGAAAUCUAAGGCAGAAACAAUGGCAGGAGGUUGCGGAUUCGGUGAAUAAUCGACAUGGACAUGUGAAGAAAGCUAGAAGAACAGAUGUUCAGUGUAAGAAUCGAAUUGAUACUUUGAAGAAGAAGUAUAAGAUUGAGAAGGCUAGGGUUUUGGAUUCUAAUGGAAGUUAUAAGAGUCCUUGGCCGUUUUUUGAGCCAUUAGAUCAGUUAAUUGGAUCAACUAUGCCAUUAAAGAAGCUUUCUCCUUCUCCUCCUAUGGCGGUUCCGAUUCUUGCUCAUCGGACUCCGGCGAUUUUGCCUCAGAAGCGUCCUGUACCGUCUCCUUCGCCUUCGCCUUCUUUUCCUGCUUCUACGCCGCCUUUUCGAGGAGAUGAGUCGUAUUUUCGGAAGAAUUACUCGGCGAUUGCGGCAGCUGCAGCGGCCGCAGCGGAUAGUGAUGAUGAGGAGGAGGAUGAGGACGAGGAGGAGGAAGAGGAGGAGGUGGAGGUGAGUGGAGAGAGUAGUGAGGCGGACGGAAUUCGGAAGCUGGCGAAAGUGAUUGAGAAGUUUGGAGAGGUGUAUGCUAGAGUGGAGGCUGAGAAACAGAGGCAGAUGAUUGAGUUGGAAAAGCAGAGGAUGCAAUUUGCUAAGGAGUUGGAGUGUCAAAGGAUGCAAAUGCUUGUUGAAAUGCAGGUUCAGCUUGAGAAGAUGAAGCGUGCUAAACGAUCCGAUUCGAAUGACUAGGUACAACUGGGUCCUCUGACACUGCUACUUAAGCUUGUUAAGACUACGAGUUAUAGGAGAAUAAGAUAUGUAUAGCUAGCUUAUUUCCAGAGCCGACUUGAGUCUGAUUAACGAGGUAGUGUGCAAUUUCAUGCUAACGGUUCAAACUGCUGUUGAGGGAGGAAAAAUACCAGUAUAAGUGCCUCAGACAGGAAGUAGAUCGACUUGCGAACUAGUUUGGAAGGUCAUGGUGGAUUAAAAACCUUUAACUUCUAUAUGAUUUUAAAUGACUCUUAAUUCAUAGAUUAUGUCCCCUGAUCUUUUUGUAAUUUGAAUGGUUGUGUAAUAUGCUACUCCUGUAACUCGUCUUUGUCGUGCUUCUCGGAAAUGAAUGUGCAGUUGAAUUCUCGCCACA
This is an RNA transcript of Beta vulgaris subsp. vulgaris (sugar beet), 1586 nucleotides long. It is a transcript of the gene named trihelix transcription factor ENAP1, with no coding region annotated. The record is from RefSeq and is a predicted model, not a curated record. NCBI's taxonomy places the organism in Eukaryota, Viridiplantae, Streptophyta, Magnoliopsida, Caryophyllales, Amaranthaceae. The transcript is spliced from 3 exons.